AGCUAAGUGGCUCAAUGGAUAGAGUUCUUGUCCUCAAGUCAGGAAGACUAGAGUUCAAAUCUGGGCUGAGCUA
Molecule: transfer RNA, 73 nt
Filed under: Monodelphis domestica (gray short-tailed opossum)
Lineage: Eukaryota; Metazoa; Chordata; Mammalia; Didelphimorphia; Didelphidae
Rfam family: tRNA
About the family: Transfer RNA (tRNA) molecules are approximately 80 nucleotides in length. Their secondary structure includes four short double-helical elements and three loops (D, anti-codon, and T loops).
Source: Rfam by way of RNAcentral